GUGAAUCAUCGAAUUUUUGAACGCAAAUUGCACUCUCUUCUGUGAGUAGGCGUGUUUGAGGGUCAGUAUUAAUAAACAUCGAAGUGUUACUUCUUUGUGACGCUCCGGGGUUUGGGUCAUCUUAGUAUCCUUUAGGUUUUAAGAGGCUUACAAUUGACUUUUUUUGCGCAUUUUAGAUGUAAUUACA
RNAcentral lists this unclassified non-coding RNA (187 nucleotides) under Rhizophagus sp. (in: glomeromycetes). Its description in RNAcentral is "partial contains 5.8S ribosomal RNA and internal transcribed spacer 2". The stretch from base 1 to 65 matches the Rfam family "5.8S ribosomal RNA", at positions 84 to 154 of the family's 154-position model. Lineage: Eukaryota; Fungi; Glomeromycota; Glomeromycetes; Glomerales; Glomeraceae. The record is from RNAcentral.